This 253-nucleotide ribosomal RNA is filed under the name uncultured bacterium. RNAcentral describes it as "partial 16S ribosomal RNA". It matches the Rfam family "Bacterial small subunit ribosomal RNA", at positions 524 to 776 of the family's 1533-position model. The record is from RNAcentral.
UACGAAGGGGGCUAGCGUUGCUCGGAAUCACUGGGCGUAAAGGGUGCGUAGGCGGGUCUUUAAGUCAGGGGUGAAAUCCUGGAGCUCAACUCCAGAACUGCCUUUGAUACUGAAGAUCUUGAGUUCGGGAGAGGUGAGUGGAACUGCGAGUGUAGAGGUGAAAUUCGUAGAUAUUCGCAAGAACACCAGUGGCGAAGGCGGCUCACUGGCCGGAUACUGACGCUGAGACGCGAAAGCGUGGGGAGCAAACAGG